UUAUUCUUGAUAUGUUCUUCAUCAUUUGUUUUUAAAUUUUGAUUCCAUUUGGACCAAUCACUUUAAAACAUUUUGAUGAAAGUGAACUAUAGCAUCAUCCGUAACUUCAAUUAUAACAUGUACCACCACCAGGUUUAUACAUAGGAUGUUGUAGCCUCUAAAAGGGGGCGGGGGAGUAGCUUAUGUAAUUUAUAAGACAAUUGUUUAAUUUGUACUCAUGAUAAAUCAACAAUAGUGACUAGCAGAUUGUCUUAUAUGUUGUUUUUUUUUAUUAAAGCUGCAUACUUCUUGAACAGCUUAAGGUCACUUCUGUGGCUUGUCUGCUUACUCUGUUCUGGAUGAAUUUCAUUAGUGGGAUCAUGUCACUCCUGGGGCCUUAGCACUCUUAUAAUAGCUUCCAUGUUUCAGUAGUCAUACAGAGCAUUUAGGAAUUGUUGAGUAAGUUGGAAACAUACUUAUUAGCAACGCAACACCAUCAUGCAAUAGUUGUACACUCAACACCAUCAUGCAAUAGUUGUACACUCAAUGCCAUCAUGCAAUAGUUGUA
This is a non-coding RNA of Biomphalaria pfeifferi, 547 nucleotides long. NCBI's taxonomy places the organism in Eukaryota, Metazoa, Mollusca, Gastropoda, Planorbidae. The record is from the annotation of a GenBank genome assembly.